RNAcentral lists this ribosomal RNA (496 nucleotides) under uncultured bacterium. RNAcentral's name for it is "partial 16S ribosomal RNA". It matches the Rfam family "Bacterial small subunit ribosomal RNA", at positions 28 to 507 of the family's 1533-position model. The record is from RNAcentral.
GAUGAACGCUGGCGGCGUGCCUAAUACAUGCGAGUCGAGCGAACGGACGAGAAGCUUGCUUCUCUGAUGUUAGCGGCGGACGGGUGAGUAACACGUGGAUAACCUACCUAUAAGACUGGGAUAACUUCGGGAAACCGGAGCUAAUACGGAUAAUAUUUUGAACCGCAUGGUUCAAAAGUGAAAGACGGUCUUGCUGUCACUUAUAGAUGGAUCCGCGCUGCAUUAGCUAGUUGGUAAGGUAACGGCUUACCAAGGCAACGAUGCAUAGCCGACCUGAGAGGGUGAUCGGCCACACUGGAACUGAGACACGGUCCAGACUCCUACGGGAGGCAGCAGUAGGGAAUCUUCCGCAAUGGGCGAAAGCCUGACGGAGCAACGCCGCGUGAGUGAUGAAGGUCUUCGGAUCGUAAAACUCUGUUAUUAGGGAAGAACAUAUGUGUAAGUAACUGUGCACAUCUUGACGGUACCUAAUCAGAAAGCCACGGCUAACUACGUG